This 753-nucleotide ribosomal RNA is filed under the name uncultured bacterium. RNAcentral's name for it is "bacterial SSU rRNA". It matches the Rfam family "Bacterial small subunit ribosomal RNA", at positions 8 to 796 of the family's 1533-position model. The record is from RNAcentral.
AGAGUUUGAUCCUGGCUCAGAACGAACGCUGGCGGCAUGCCUAACACAUGCAAGUCGAACGUGAUCCGGGGCUUGCUCCGGUGAAAGUGGCGGACGGGUGAGUAACGCGUGGGAACCUGCCCAGUGGUCGGGGAUAACUGCGGGAAACUGCAGCUAAUACCCGGUAAGCCCUACGGGGGAAAGAUUUAUCGCCAUUGGAGGGGCCCGCGUCGGAUUAGGUAGUUGGUGGGGUAAAGGCCUACCAAGCCUUCGAUCCGUAGCUGGUCUGAGAGGAUGAUCAGCCACACUGGGACUGAGAUACGGCCCAGACUCCUACGGGAGGCAGCAGUGGGGAAUAUUGGACAAUGGGCGCAAGCCUGAUCCAGCAAUGCCGCGUGAGUGAAGAAGGCCUUAGGGUUGUAAAGCUCUUUCGGCGGGGACGAUGAUGACGGUACCCGCAGAAGAAGCCCCGGCUAACUCCGUGCCAACAGCCGCGGUAAUACGGAGGGGGCUAGCGUUGUUCGGAAUUACUGGGCGUAAAGGGCGCGUAGGCGGCGCGAUAAGUUGGGCGUGAAAGGCCCGGGCUCAACCCGGGGACUGCGCUUGAUACUGUCGCGCUGUGAGUCCGGGAGAGGAUGGCGGAAUUCCCAGUGUAGAGGUGAAAUUCGUAGAUAUUGGGAAGAACACCGGUGGCGAAGGCGGCCAUCUGGACCGGCACUGACGCUGAGGCGCGAAAGCGUGGGGAGCAAACAGGAUUAGAUACCCCAGUAGUCC